GAUGGAGGCCGAUGGUAGAAGACGAAGGAAGGAGGUGGGCAGAGACCCAGACGGAGGGAUCAGAGACCCGGAGAGUGACAGAGAGACCCAUUGAGAGGGGACACAGAUCCAGACCGAAAGAGCAAAAGAAACCCAGGGAAAGAGAGGGACAGAGACACAGAUAAAGAGGGAGACAGAGACCCACAGAAGGGGGAGAGACGCGAGUGUACAGAUACGGAGUUGGGCAGAGGCCAGAGUCAGAGAGAGAGAGAGAGAGAGAGAGAAAUAAAUGAAGGCGAGUGGCACCUAAGGAAGUUGCAAGAGGUAAGCAGGGAGGGGAGGAAGGAAGGGGAAUCAAACCCUUGCCCCUGUAUCCCCAUCGCCUUGUCCAUCCAGCGAGGGCCCCUAUCCAGGCCCGGCUCUUCCCCGACCGGACUCUGAGAGCACUGUGGCCCACUGUCUGUCUCCUCCAGCCCGCCACCUCACUUGCCCAUUCCGGAAAGGAGCUGCAGUCAACGCUUGGAACCCCUGGCCUUACCCGGUGCAGAGACUGGAUCAGAAACGAGGACAAUUGGGAGGUAGGUGGAGGAGGGACAGGGGCCUGGAGGAGGUGGGCACUCACUUAACAGAGGCGGCGCUAGGCCAGCGGCGUCCCAGCUUGGCCAGCUGCUUCCUGGGAGAAUUGAUCCACAAGCCCACGGGGAGGUGGAGCUUCCCGAAGCGGGGGCUUCCGCCCUCUUUCCGUUCACCAGAUAGCAUGGCCCUAAGGACGGAUGGGUAAGACCCCAACUCCUGAGGCCCCGAGUAGUGGGGAUUGGGAUGGAGGGGCCUGGGGCUCAAACUCCCGAGUUUGGGUGGAGGAGAAGGAUGGGAGCUAAGCUCCUGGGUGCUGGGAUGGGAGAUGGGUGGGGACUGGCCACUGGGUCUGAGGGAGGAGGGGUCUGGACUUCAGGGUCCCUGGUUCUUACCCUGCUUCAGGUCCCAACAGCACCCCGGGGCCCUGGCUCCGUUGGCCCUGGUUGCUUCCUGACCCCGCUGUUCCCGUUCAGCCUUUGCCUCUGCCCCGGCUCCCAGCACUGGGUGGGGGACAGGAAAAGGCGAGAGGAAACCCGGCAGGAAGAGCUGGGAGGGGGCGUCCUGUGAGGGGACCGGGCCUGGGGGAGGAGAUCUGCGUAGGGCAGGCCCUUCUCUACUCCUUGAUUCUGGAAUGACAUCUCAGCUAGUUGGGCACUGCCUUGACACAGGGAACUGACUUCCCAGUCUCUCCGAGGACAGGAGACCCG
RNAcentral lists this long non-coding RNA (1262 nucleotides) under Lynx pardinus (Iberian lynx). The record is from RNAcentral. Lineage: Eukaryota; Metazoa; Chordata; Mammalia; Carnivora; Felidae.